GGAGCGGAAGCCGCGGCGAGAGGCUGGGAGCGGCGGCCGAGCGGCGGGCGACGGGGGCGGGGGACUCGCGCCGCGGCCGGGGCGGAGCCGGAGCCAUGGCGCCGCCGCUGCCGGGCUAGGGAGGGCCGGCGCCCCCGGGCCCGCGGCGAUGUCGGGCUACGCGCGCCGCCCGGGCGUCUCCCCGCUGUCCCGGGCCCGCAGCCUCGUCAUUCCGGACGCGGCCGCGUCCUCCGAGCGCCGGGCCGGGCUCCCCCAGCUCGACUGUGGGCGCCCCCGCGGCCGGGACCCGGACCCCCACCUCCUCGGCCUUCGGCCGGCGUUUAUGUGCUAUGUGCCCAGCCCGGUGCUGGCGUCCGUGGGAGACACAGAUUUUGUCCGCGGAAAGGGGAAGGGCACCAAGCCAGGAGCCCAGGAGGUACACUUUGGAGAUGAGAAGCUUGCGGACCUGGAAGAGGCAAACCCGUUCUCCUUUAAGGAGUUCCUGAAAACCAAGAACCUCAGCCUGCUGAAGGAGGACGCGGCCAACAGCCGGCUCCACGCGCAGGAAGCCACAAGGCACUCCCUGGGCCUCGACUGCAGCUCCCCGCCCCCCCAGCCCAUGGGCUUCGGCCUGGACUUCCAGCAGCCGUUUUUCGAAGACCCAACGGGGGCUGGCGACCUCCUGGACGAGGACGAGGACGAGGACGGGUGGAACGGCGCCUACUUGCCAUCCGCCGUGGAGCAGACGCACUCGAGGGUCUCGGCCAGCGCGUCGCCCUGCAGCACGUACAUCUCCUUCUUCAGCCCCUCGGAGCUGGCAGGGCCCGAGUCCCUGCCUCCGUGGACACUGAGCGACUCCGACUCCCGAGUCUCUCCCGUGGCGAGUCCCAGUGUAGACUUCGCCGCCCACGGAGAGUGUCUGGGGGACAGGCACCUUCGGUCGCUGCAGAUCAGCUACGAAGCACUGAAAGACGAGAACUCGAAGCUCAGGAGGAAGCUAACGGAGGUGCAGAGCUUCUCUGAGACGCAAACCGAGAUGGUCAGGACGCUGGAGCGGAAAUUGGAAGCAAAAAUGAUCAAGGAGGAGAGUGACUACCACGACCUGGAAUCCGUGGUCCAGCAGGUGGAGCAGAACCUGGAGCUGAUGACCAAACGUGCGGUAAAGGCAGAAAGUCACGUCAUGAAGCUGAAACAAGACAUAAGCUUGCUCCAGGUGGACAGCGCGUGGCUGCUCCCUGUUGACCAUAAAACCCCUUCACGGCCACGCCCCCACCCCAGGCGCAGGUCUCCAACUUCAAGAGGGAGAAUGAGGCCCUGCGCUCGGGCCAGGGCGCCAGCCUGACGGUGGUGAAGCAGAACACAGACGUGGCCCUGCAGAACCUGCGCAUGGUCAUGAGCAACGCGCACGCCUCCAUCAGGCAGCUGGUUUCCGGAGCCGAGACACUGAACCUUGUUGCUGAAAUCCUUAAAUCUAUAGACAGAAUCUCUGAAAUCAAGGAGGUCGGGGAGGAGGAGUCUUGAGAAGCUUCUAGCUCGCAACUCUGUUUACAGCCUGCAGUCUCCGCUCACGGGCUGUGAAAUGCCAUUGUGUCUUUGAAUACGCAGUCUCCCAGUAAAGCUGUUUAUCACGAGAUGCUAAUUCAGGACUGAGAACAGUGUUAUUAGCCUGCUGCAGCGAGGAGCGGCCGACUAGCGAGCGUCACUGAGGUUUCUGUCCAUGCAGCCCGUGCUCCUGGGCGAACCCCUGCAUUGAGACCAUGACCCACUGGAAGGCGUGUUUAUAAAAGCCACCCAUGUUUUAAGUGCUGAACAUGGAAACAGCAGUUCUGUGAUACGAGUCUUCCAUUCUUAUUACAGAACGUUCAUUCUAAGUUCGAUCGAUUGUCCUUGAUUUCCCACAUAAAGGAAACACUAAAUGAGCCGAAAUGGAAUGACUGCCUUGGACAGGGCUGCGUGCCUUGUUGCCUUUGCUCAGUGCCCCGGCUCAGCCCACCCUGCAGCCUUCCCAGGGCACCUGCGACUGGGGCCUGAGUGGGCAGCCGGGUGGUUGGAUGCUGCUGUCCUGCAGGGACCAAGGUGGGCACAGACUCUACACUGUGAAGCCGCUGGAACGCACCUCUUUAGGGGCCUGGGGUUUGAACAGUGUUGGAUGGAGGGUUCUGAUACAUGUUCCAAGCGGCCUUUGUACAAUGAAGUCGGAUCCAGAGGACGUGCAGAGCCUCCCGGUAGCAGAGGGCUGCUGCUGCUCCAGCCCUUCUGACGGGGGAGGCGUGACGUGCACUCAGUGCCUUGUGCUGUUUUCCUGCAGAUGUUAUUUUUUAAGAUAAAUGUUCCCUCCUGUUCAGAUUGACAGCUUUCUUAAUAAAUUCUAAAUGCACA
Myotis daubentonii (Daubenton's bat) is the source of this 2358-nucleotide RNA transcript. It is a transcript of the gene named endosome associated trafficking regulator 1, with no coding region annotated. NCBI's taxonomy places the organism in Eukaryota, Metazoa, Chordata, Mammalia, Chiroptera, Vespertilionidae. The record is from RefSeq and is a predicted model, not a curated record.